Sceloporus undulatus (fence lizard) is the source of this 1302-nucleotide long non-coding RNA. RefSeq lists it as uncharacterized. Lineage: Eukaryota; Metazoa; Chordata; Lepidosauria; Squamata; Phrynosomatidae. The transcript is spliced from 4 exons. The record is from RefSeq and is a predicted model, not a curated record.
GAGAUCCAUCAUGGAAUAAGAAAGAAGACAGAUGAAAGAAGUUGGUUGUUAAGAGCCUCUGAAAACUCGCUUUUUGAAUGGAUGUGUCCUCUAGAAGUUCCAGCAGAUUACGUUACUUGGUAUCUGGCCAAAUUGACAUGUCUAAUGCCCUCUGCUCUCUGACAGUCUGAAUAAAGCCAUAGAGUGGGCCUGCAGCUGAUAAAAGGGAUACGGCAUCCUGAUUCCCAGGAGCCAGCUGCAGAAUUCAUUAUCUUCCUGCUCAGGUGUCUAGCAUCCCUUCUUGAGAGAAUGACAGCCAUUCCUUUAUGAGAAGAAAAUACAAUUAUCCUGUUGUUUGUUUUUAAAAUUUUUCUAUCUUUUGUGAUGCUGUUCUCCCAUCAAGAGUUUUAAAAAUUGUAUUGUAUUGUGUUGUGUUUUAAACUGUGUGCACCACCUUGGAUCCUGUGCUAUUAGACAGACAGGAUAUAAAAUAAAUGAAUGAAUAAUUAAAUAAAUAAUCAUUAUGAAGAAAUAUGUAAAAAAGCAUAUACUAGGGAACAGCGAUUGCCAGAAUGUGUAUGUCAGGAAACAUGUGUAGAGCAAUGUAUAUAAAAACAUAUUUUAAACAUCCAGAGACAGAUAAAGGAAUGGGAUGGGAUAACAGUGUGCCUGAAAGAACCUUUAUGUUACAGAAAGCAAGACAGACAGAUUUGCCUGUUAUCCACACUUUACUUUAGAGUCAGCUUGCGCCAUUAAUCAUUCUGAACUACUUUGCUCUUUUCAGAGAAAAUAACAUGGAUCACAGAUUCACCUCUAUUUUUUAAUGAGGAGAAAACCCUGAUGUUCAAGAGAAAUAAUUUCUUACACUUUCUAUCGACAGGACAUUAAAAACAUUAUUGAAAACCAAGCCUACACCAAGAACUACUUCUGAAUAGGCAUAUAUAGGAUAGUGCUGUAAAAUUUCAAUCCAGCACACAUUAGUCCUACUAGACAUAUGCAACUCGUAUUCAAGAAAGGACUGCAUUGUAAAAAUGUAAAGACGUGUCCUCUACCGUCUAGAAGAGAGGGAGGAGAUCAAUAGGCUUAAACAAAGGAGGAUAGGCCUUGUACAUUUAUUGUUUUCAGCAGAUGGACAGCCAUCUGCUAGAGAUAUUCAAGGUUUGGACUUCAUUGAAAAGGUUAGACUACAUGGCCUAUAUGAUACCUUAAACUCUAUGACUCUACUGAGUAUUUUGAUCCAUUCCAUCUGGCAGUCUUCUGUCUCAAAUAAACUCUUGAUGGUUUCACUACAUUACAAAUGACCAUGAAAGUUGGCUGUUUGUG